UACGAAGGGGGCUAGCGUUGCUCGGAAUCACUGGGCGUAAAGCGCACGUAGGCGGCUUGUUAAGUCAGGGGUGAAAUCCUGGAGCUCAACUCCAGAACUGCCUUUGAUACUGACGAUCUCGAGUCCGGGAGAGGUGAGUGGAACUGCGAGUGUAGAGGUGAAAUUCGUAGAUAUUCGCAAGAACACCAGUGGCGAAGGCGGCUCACUGGCCCGGUACUGACGCUGAGGUGCGAAAGCGUGGGGAGCAAACAGG
This 253-nucleotide ribosomal RNA is filed under the name uncultured bacterium. RNAcentral describes it as "partial 16S ribosomal RNA". It matches the Rfam family "Bacterial small subunit ribosomal RNA", at positions 524 to 776 of the family's 1533-position model. The record is from RNAcentral.